AAAAGAGAGAAAGAGAGAAAGAGUCAUCAAGGAAGGAAGCUGUGGAAGGAACUAAUUAUUGAGUUCAUUCAGUCGCUUGGUAAUUUAUUUUUUAUUUCUAUUUAUUUGAUUUUUUUUCUUGUGAUUUUUUCAUUUUCACUAUAAGAGAAAAAAGGGAGGAAAGAUAUUGUGUAAACAGAAAGUUAGGAUAGGCUAAUG
Molecule: non-coding RNA, 198 nt
Filed under: Fragilariopsis kerguelensis
Lineage: Eukaryota; Bacillariophyta; Bacillariophyceae; Bacillariales; Bacillariaceae
Source: RNAcentral